UUGGGGUGGGGGAGGGGCCACGUUGUUUUCACCAACCUCUGACGGGCCGUUUUGAUGAAAGAGCAGUUUGGGCAGGUUCUGGACAGAGCUCCCCAUGGAGUCCUGGCCAUGGGACAUCUUCAGCCAGGGUUGCCUCGUUUCAGCUGAAAGAUGUCAGAGGCUGUGAUGAGCCCGGAAAAAGCCACCUACGGCAGGGAGCUCCUAAAGCAGUAACCAUCAUCUUCAUCUACCGCUGUGACAACCUACGACUAACUGGGAGGCUUAUAAAUAGAAGUUUAUUUCUUGCAAUUAUGUUACAAAGCUGCGAAGUCCAAGAUCAAGACUGCAGCAGACUCAGAGACUGGGUGGGACCUGCUUCCUGGGUCACAUAGAGCAGUUUCCUCUGUGUAUCCACAGGUGGCCGACUGGGUAAGGGAGCUCCCUGGGGUCUCUCUUUUUGUUUUUUUAGGGCUGUACCUGAAGCAUAUGGAAGUUCCCAGGCUAGGAGUUGAAGUGGAGCUGUAGCUGCUGGCCACAGCCACAGUCACACAGGAUCUGAGCUGCGUCUGUGACCUACACCACAGCCCACAGCAACGCCGGAUCCUUAGCCCACCGAGUGAGGCCAGGGAUCAAACCUACAUCUUUGUGGAUACUAGUCAGGUUCUUAACCCACUGAGCCACAGUGGGAACUCCUCUCUGGAGUCUCUUUACAAGAGUGCAGGUCCACCGGGAGGGCUCCACAUUUAGGAGCAGAGCACUCCCCCGAGGCCUCAUCUUCAAGCACCAUCACAAUGGGGGUUAGGAUUUCAAUCCAGGAAUGUGGGGGAGGGGACACAAACAUUCAAUCACUUGCACCCAUAAAGCACUUUCUGUCCGUUAGGGUGCAGCAAAGUGGAGAAUUUUUUUUUUUUUUCUUAAUAUGACUGGAGGGGAGCUACACACACUUUUCAGACCACAUUCGCAGGGCCUCAGUUCUCUAGGUAGAGGCUUCAAAGCCCCUCCUUUGAUGAUGACAUCAAGGUGGGCAGGUGGGCAGCUCAGAGCCCUUGGCUUUGGAGAAGUCUCAGCAUUUCAUGUCUAUUUUUUAAGUUCACCCUGAAGGUCACCCUUGUCCAGGAAACAAAGGCUGGGGUUGGGGGAUGUGAGGAUGAAUUAGGC
RNAcentral lists this long non-coding RNA (1137 nucleotides) under Sus scrofa (pig). RNAcentral describes it as "lncRNA (ENSSSCG00065049668.1)". Lineage: Eukaryota; Metazoa; Chordata; Mammalia; Artiodactyla; Suidae. The record is from RNAcentral.